This 445-nucleotide ribosomal RNA is filed under the name uncultured bacterium. RNAcentral's name for it is "partial 16S ribosomal RNA". It matches the Rfam family "Bacterial small subunit ribosomal RNA", at positions 354 to 796 of the family's 1533-position model. The record is from RNAcentral.
GUGAGGAAUAUUGGUCAAUGGGCGGGAGCCUGAACCAGCCAAGUCGCGUGAAGGAAGAAGGAGCUAUGGUUCGUAAACUUCUUUUGCAGGGGAAUAAAGUGCAGGACGUGUCCUGUUUUGUAUGUACCCUGAGAAUUAGGAUCGGCUAACUCCGUGCCAGCAGCCGCGGUAAUACGGAUGAUCCGAGCGUUAUCCGGAUUUAUUGGGUUUAAAGGGUGCGUAGGUGGUUUGAUAAGUCAGCGGUGAAAGUUUGCAGCUUAACUGUAAAAAUGCCGUUGAAACUGUCGGAGUUGAGUGGAAAUGAGGUAGGCAGAAUGCGUGGUGUAGCGGUGAAAUGCAUAGAUAUCACGCAGAACUCCGAUUGCGAAGGCAGCUUACUAAGCUACAACUGACACUGAAGCACGAAAGCGUGGGGAUCAAACAGGAUUAGAAACCCUUGUAGUCC